AUUUUCAUCAACUGCAAACUUGGAUGCUGGAUCUUCCUACUAGAGCUCACUGAUUGCCCAGGGUUGAGGUACAAGAAUUAUGAAGAUGGCAAAGUGGAUGCUAAGAACAAUUAGUGGAUGCUAAGAAAAUUAGUGAUUCAUCAAAGUCAAACCAACAGAACAUGACAGCAAAUGACAGGAUUGGAACUCAGUCCUGGAACUCGGGUUGAUUGAUUGCAGGAAAAGUGCUCUAAAUGAUGAGAACUUUUCUACUCCCGGCCUGAUAUAAUGCUAAGCAAUAAAAAGAAGCUAAUGUCUUAAUAAAGCCAAUAUAGUCAGGUGUAUUGCAAGUGUCAGAAAAAUUCUGAUACAAAGUAAGUGCUCAAUAAAUAUUUACUUAAUGAAAUAAUCAACUGGAGAUAAAGGCAGUGGAAGAAAAUCAGAAAUGGCUUAAUAUAUGAGGCAAUGCCUGGAAGAUAAAUAAGAAUUUUGACAAGAAGGGAUGAUCUUCCUAACUCAUCUAGCUCAUUUCAGAUGAUUACUUUU
Homo sapiens (human) is the source of this 525-nucleotide long non-coding RNA. NCBI's taxonomy places the organism in Eukaryota, Metazoa, Chordata, Mammalia, Primates, Hominidae. The record is from Ensembl.